Etheostoma cragini (Arkansas darter) is the source of this 852-nucleotide long non-coding RNA. RefSeq lists it as uncharacterized. Lineage: Eukaryota; Metazoa; Chordata; Actinopteri; Perciformes; Percidae. The record is from RefSeq and is a predicted model, not a curated record. The transcript is spliced from 2 exons.
GUGUUGUAAAAAGACAGCAAAACCAAAAGCAUUUACUUACUCAGUCAAGCCAAGUGUUAAUUGGCUGUCAAUGCAUUCCAACCAGGGCAACACAUUGUGAUAAACAGAUGAGUAACGUAAUAGGGAGCGCCAAGGUUACUGCCCAGUUUCUAUAAUGACAAAUGACUUUUGCUUUGGAAAUUAAGAAAAGACAUCAGGGUUGUAUUAAAGCUGUGUGAGAAAGCUAAGGGUUUGCUUAACUUAGACAUAGCUCAAUCGCGUUGUAAAUAUAAAAAAAAGCCUUUUGGUGAACCUCGUUCUAAAUCCUAUUAGAGGUAAGAAAUAAUGUAGCGGAAAAGAUUAUGAUUAGAAAUUCUAUCAGAGCUUUAGAACAAUCAUAAAGCGGUAUUCUCUGUAAAUGAGUCAGAAACAGGACACACACUGAUCACAGCUUGGUUGAUCAGAAUUACUUCAGUACAGUGAGUAAGUGAAGAACAUCGGGGUUGAGAUGCAGUGCCUUUGUGCUUGGCCUCCUGAAAAGAAUACCUUAUCUCAAGUAACAAUACCUUUAUCACAUGCUGGUUCUAUACAGUAUUUCACAAGUGCUACACUGUAAUUAGCAGAGAUGAAUAAUAUUUAAGCGAAUGUACAUAAUUUGUUGCCAUGCUGUAAAGUAAAUCCAGUUUCCUUGUAUGUUUGUACGUACUGUAUGUAUGUAUGUAUUUAUAUUUGUAAAACUUUGGACUCUAUAGUUCAAAUCUGUCCUAGCAGAGAGAUCCCCCCCCCCCCCCCCCCCGUUUUUAUUGCAUUGUAUACUGAUGUGCAGCUGCUUGUCCAACUUACUUUGGAAAGCCAUUUUCCAAUAAAAACUUU